UCACGUCUUACGACGGCAGUUUCACUAGAGUUCCCAGCGUUACCUGAUGGCAACUAGUGAUGGGGGUUGCGCUCGUUGCGGGACUUAACCCAACACCUCACGGCACGAGCUGACGACAGCCAUGCAGCACCUCGACUGGACCCCCUUGCGGGGUAACGAUGUUUCCACCGCCGUUGACCAGCCGUUCGAGCCCAGGUAAGGUUCUUCGCGUUGCGUCGAAUUGAACCACAUGCUCCACCGCUUGUGCGGGCCCCCGUCAAUUCCUUUGAGUUUCAGUCUUGCGACCGUACUCCCCAGGCGGGGUACUUACUGCGUUAGCGACGGCACCGAGAGGGUCGCUCCCCCCGACGCCUAGUACCCAUCGUUUACGGCGUGGACUAC
This 381-nucleotide unclassified non-coding RNA is filed under the name uncultured bacterium. Its description in RNAcentral is "contains 16S-23S intergenic spacer region". The record is from RNAcentral.